Equus caballus (horse) is the source of this 778-nucleotide non-coding RNA. NCBI's taxonomy places the organism in Eukaryota, Metazoa, Chordata, Mammalia, Perissodactyla, Equidae. The record is from the annotation of a RefSeq genome assembly.
CCAAACAAGCCGAGCCAGGGACACACAGCUCCUCGCAGGAAUGGAGGGUUCCUGGGAUAUGAGGAGACUCUCCCACGUUCCCGCCUGACCCGGCACGACUGGGCAUGGAUGGCACCCCACCCCCGACGGGGGACAGUUGCAGGUGGGGAGGGGGCCCAACUCCCAGCCUCCCAUCAGGCGACCAGCCCCCAUGACAAGGAGGCUGGACUCUGGGCCUCCCAUGCAGCUGCAGGGGGGCCUGGGGAAGUGGGUGCCAGGAGCGUUUUGUUCGAGGCUGUGUCACUGUGUGCUGUAUUCGGCGGAGGCACCCACCUGACCAUCGCAGGUGGUCCCACGUCUGCACCCUCGGUCUCUCUCUUCCCGCCCUCCUCUGAGGAGCUCAGCGCCAACAAGGCCACAGUGGUGUGUCUCAUCAGUGACUUCUCCCCCAGCGACUUGACGGUGAGCUGGAAGGUAAAUGGCACCGCCACCACCCAGGGCGUCCAGACCACCAGGCCCUCGAAACAGAGCAACGGCAAGUACGCGGCCAGCAGCUACCUGACGCGGACUUCCGCACAGUGGAAAUCGUACAGCAGUGUCAGCUGCCAGGUCACGCACCAAGGGAAAACCGUGGAGAAGAAACUGUCCCCCUCAGAUUGUCCUUAGGUCCCCGAGUCGCCCACACCCUCAGGGACCUGCUGUCACGGGACCCCUAAGGGGGUCGACCCUUCCCACUCCGACACCUCCUUCUCCCUCCGCCCAAAUCCUUCUCAAUAAAACAUCCUCCUUCUCAAUCAGA